RNAcentral lists this ribosomal RNA (252 nucleotides) under uncultured bacterium. RNAcentral describes it as "partial 16S ribosomal RNA". It matches the Rfam family "Bacterial small subunit ribosomal RNA", at positions 524 to 772 of the family's 1533-position model. The record is from RNAcentral.
UACGAAGGGGGCGAGCGUUUGUUCGGAUUUACUGGGCGUAAAGGGCGCGUAGGCGGCCCUCCUUGUCGCGUGUGAAAGCCCCGGGCUCAACCUGGGAAUUGCGCGCGAAACGGGGGGGGCUUGAGUUCGGGAGAGGAGCGUGGAAUUCCCAGUGUAGAGGUGAAAUUCGUAGAUAUUGGGAAGAACACCGGUGGCGAAGGCGGCGCUCUGGACCGAGACUGACGCUGAGGCGCGGAAAGCGUGGGGAGCAAA